Molecule: long non-coding RNA, 1403 nt
Organism: Oncorhynchus gorbuscha (pink salmon)
Lineage: Eukaryota; Metazoa; Chordata; Actinopteri; Salmoniformes; Salmonidae
Exons: 3
Source: RefSeq, a predicted model, not a curated record
UUAACAUGUUAUAACUGGUAUAUGAAGACAGUGUAGUAGUGUUAACAUGUUAUAACUGAUGUAUAUUUGUAUAUAAUCGAACACCUUUGGGAUGAAUUGGAAAGCCUACUGCAGGGCCUAAUCACCCCCAACAUCAGUACCCGUUUGGAAUGAGAUGUUGGAUGAGCAGUUGUCCACAUACCCUUUUGGUUAUGUAGUGUGUGUGUAACAUGUAGAUAUGUCAAGGUAGCCUGGGUGCCAGUCAGUUUGUGCUCUCUUGCCAACUCCUUAUGGAUGUUUCAUGGCAUGACACUGAGUGUGAAGUGUUAACUGUUAUUACUGUCUAAUACCAGGUAUAUGAAGUGUUAUAACUAUUACUGUGUAAUACCAGGUAUAUGAAGUGUUAUAACUAUUACUGUGUAAUACCAGGUAUAUGAAGUGUUAUAACUAUUACUGUGUAAUACCAGGUAUAUGAAGUGUUAUAACUAUUACUGUGUAAUACCAGGUAUAUGAAGUGUUAUAACUAUUACUGUGUAAUACCAGGUAUAUGAAGUGUUAUAACUAUUACUGUGUAAUACCAGGUAUAUGAAGUGUUAUAACUAUUACUGUGUAAUACCAGGUAUAUGAAGUGUUAUAACUAAUGUGUAAUACCAGGUAUGUGAAGUGUUAUAACUAUUACUGUGUAAUACCAGGUAUAUGAAGUGUUAUAACUAUUACUGUGUAAUACCAGGUAUAUGAAGUGUUAUAACUAUUACUGUGUAAUACCGGGUACGGUAACUGUUAUUACUGUGUAAUACCAGGUAUAUGAAGUGUUAUAACUAUUACUGUGUAAUACCAGGUAUAUGAAGUGUUAUAACUAUUACUGUGUAAUACCAGGUAUAUGAAGUGUUAUAACUAUUACUGUGUAAUACCAGGUAUAUGAAGUGUUAUAACUAUUACUGUGUAAUACCAGGUAUAUGAAGUGUUAUAACUAUUACUGUGUAAUACCAGGUAUAUGAAGUGUUAUAGCUAUUACUGUGUAAUACCAGGUAUAUGUAGUGUUAUAACUAUUACUGUGUAAUACCAGGUAUAUGAAGUGUUAUAACUAUUACUGUGUAAUACCAGGUAUAUGAAGUGUUAUAACUAUUACUGUGUAAUACCAGGUAUAUAAAGUGUUAUAACUAUUACUGUGUAAUACCAGGUAUAUGAAGUGUUAUAACUAUUACUGUGUAAUACCAGGUAUAUGAAGUGUUAUAACUAUUACUGUGUAAUACCAGGUAUAUGAAGUGUUAUAACUAUUACUGUGUAAUACCAGGUAUAUGAAGUGUUAUAACUAUUACUGUGUAAUACCAGGUAUAUGAAGUGUUAUAACUAUUACUGUGUAAUACCAGGUAUAUGAAGUGUGUCCCGGUGUAAUACCGGGUACGGUAACUGUUAUUACUGUG